This 596-nucleotide long non-coding RNA is filed under the name Homo sapiens (human). RNAcentral describes it as "HSALNT0352343". The record is from RNAcentral. Lineage: Eukaryota; Metazoa; Chordata; Mammalia; Primates; Hominidae.
GGAAGCCAGCUGGAAAUACAACAAAACGCCUCUCCCGCUCCUUUAGCAAAACAUGUGUCAGAGCAACGCAAGAUUUGAUUGGGACUGCUUUACUUCGUUAACAAUUACAGCAGGAGUAGGGCUGAUUGGAGCCAUUGUACAGUGUCGGGAACAUACCAGGACACUGAGAAUAGUGUCAUGUCAUAAGGACCCAGAGCAGAUGGACCCUGCUGUGAUGCACAAAGAGGACCACGCAAGAUAUGAUAAAGAUCUACAUCACUGAAUUUUGGUUCCAUUUUUGUAUCUCAGCUUCCAGGAAAUAAAAAAGAAUUCUAACAUUCAUACUUUCAGUAUUUUAUGUGAGAGGUUUUGUUGUCAAAAUCAAGUCUGAGAGCAAUGUUUGUUGGGGCCUUUAAUUGGAGUCACCAAGCGAUAAAGGGGACAUUGUCCUCAACAAUAACCCUAUAAUAAACACGUUUUGGACAAUAAAUAUAUGACAAUUUCUUAAAAGCAAUUUCUUGGGCAAUCAAGACAGUAUGGCUUGAGUAUGGAGUUAUACGAUGGUUUGGAUUAAUCCAGUAUUAAAUCUUUGGUUAUUACAGAAAUCAAUGGAGCCU